RNAcentral lists this ribosomal RNA (745 nucleotides) under uncultured bacterium. RNAcentral describes it as "bacterial SSU rRNA". It matches the Rfam family "Bacterial small subunit ribosomal RNA", at positions 33 to 773 of the family's 1533-position model. The record is from RNAcentral.
ACGCUGGCGGCAGGCCUAACACAUGCAAGUCGAGCGGUAGAGAGAAGCUUGCUUCUCUUGAGAGCGGCGGACGGGUGAGUAAUGCCUAGGAAUCUGCCUGGUAGUGGGGGAUAACGUCCGGAAACGGACGCUAAUACCGCAUACGUCCUACGGGAGAAAGCAGGGGACCUUCGGGCCUUGCGCUAUCAGAUGAGCCUAGGUCGGAUUAGCUAGUUGGUGGGGUAAUGGCUCACCAAGGCGACGACCCGUAACUGGUCUGAGAGGAUGAUCAGUCACACUGGAACUGAGACACGGUCCAGACUCCUACGGGAGGCAGCAGUGGGGAAUAUUGGACAAUGGGCGAAAGCCUGAUCCAGCCAUGCCGCGUGUGUGAAGAAGGUCUUCGGAUUGUAAAGCACUUUAAGUUGGGAGGAAGGGCAGUAAAUUAAUACUUUGCUGUUUUGACGUUACCGACAGAAUAAGCACCGGCUAACUCUGUGCCAGCAGCCGCGGUAAUACAGAGGGUGCAAGCGUUAAUCGGAAUUACUGGGCGUAAAGCGCGCGUAGGUGAUUCGUUAAGUUGGAUGUGAAAUCCCCGGGCUCAACCUGGGAACUGCAUUCAAAACUGACGAGCUAGAGUAUGGUAGAGGGUGGUGGAAUUUCCUGUGUAGCGGUGAAAUGCGUAGAUAUAGGAAGGAACACCAGUGGCGAAGGCGACCACCUGGACUGAUACUGACACUGAGGUGCGAAAGCGUGGGGAGCAAAC